GAACAUACUUCUUAUUCCUUAUACUAUGGUAUUAUAAUAUAGUAAAAUUCUAUAUUAUAAGUUAUAACCUAACACUAAAGUAAAUCACGUUUAACACUUACGGUGGUAACGCACGUUAACAUUAAACACUUAAAAAAAUCACGUUGUAAAAAUUAAAAUUAUUUGGCUGCUAAUUUACAAGUAUUACAAAACCACUGUUUUGAUUUUACAUUCUCAUUUACUCUUGCGCAUAUAAAAUGUGACCAUUCCAAGCACCGAUUGCAGCAAAUGGAUUUAGUAGAAGCAUCUUCUGAACAAACAGGACAAACCCAAGUUGCAUGUUUUUUUUUGGCAUCAAUAAUUUGUUGGACAGCAGUCCAUCCAUCUGCUGUAAAAAAUUGCCUUAUUUCUCCUACAGCUAUAGUAUCAUCGAUUAUUGCACAUGGUACACUUUCUGAUUGUUUUAUUUUCAAUGGCAGUUUUUGAAAACAAACCAACCCAACUGAAUCCAAUUUUCUUUUUUUUGGAAUGCCAAUUGCUGUCUUAUCAUUACCUACAUAUUAUAUUGUGGUUUAAGCAUAGUUGUUGAAGGAAUUACCCUACAUACAUCUUGGUAAUACCUUCUAGUCCACCUAUCUGCACAUAAUUCUGGGCAGUAUAAUGAAAUAUCAUACAUUUUCCUCAAUCUCAAUAUGUGGUGGCACGGAAGACACAUACUGGUAAUAAAAGUGCACUCACAAGUCUUAGUAGUGACGUUUAAGACACCCUCUCCGGAAUUAACAAUGCCCGUCAUGUUAAUGUGCCAAUCCAGCUACAAAACUAGGAGUUUUUGAAAAACACUCGGUGGCUAUGUGGUCUCGUUCUGUCCGUAGCGUUACCAUUAACAUCUCUAGCCCUAUAAAUACAUAUACAAUUAUAACAUAUGCAUGAAGAUGACUGCGCGGCGGGUAUAGUUUGCUUAAGUAAUUUCCCUCGACAUAGACCUCAAACAAUGGAAAAUACAAAUCAAAAUUUGUGAAUCCGGAAAUUGCUGCUUGAAAACAUUCCUCUCAGUAAAAUCUUUGUCUGCCAUUAUACA
Long non-coding RNA from Myzus persicae (green peach aphid), 1057 nucleotides. RefSeq lists it as uncharacterized. The record is from RefSeq and is a predicted model, not a curated record. The transcript is spliced from 5 exons. Lineage: Eukaryota; Metazoa; Arthropoda; Insecta; Hemiptera; Aphididae.